UACGUAGGGUGCAAGCGUUGUCCGGAAUUAUUGGGCGUAAAGAGCUCGUAGGCGGUUCGUCGCGUCGGCUGUGAAAACCCGGAGCUCAACUCCGGGCCUGCAGUCGAUACGGGCGGACUUGAGUGUUGCAGGGGAGACUGGAAUUCCUGGUGUAGCGGUGAAAUGCGCAGAUAUCAGGAGGAACACCGGUGGCGAAGGCGGAUCUCUGGGCCAUUACUGACGCUGAGAAGCGAAAGCAUGGGGAGCGAACAGG
Molecule: ribosomal RNA, 253 nt
Filed under: uncultured bacterium
Lineage: Bacteria
Description: partial 16S ribosomal RNA
Rfam family: Bacterial small subunit ribosomal RNA
Source: RNAcentral